GGAGCUGUGCCUGAAGUAAAGGGCCACUUUGAUAGAGUGUAAUAUGGAGGUUCAAAUCCCCCCAACUCCU
RNAcentral lists this transfer RNA (70 nucleotides) under Pelotretis flavilatus (southern lemon sole). RNAcentral's name for it is "tRNA-Ile". It matches the Rfam family "tRNA". From Rfam's summary of the family: Transfer RNA (tRNA) molecules are approximately 80 nucleotides in length. Their secondary structure includes four short double-helical elements and three loops (D, anti-codon, and T loops). The record is from RNAcentral. Lineage: Eukaryota; Metazoa; Chordata; Actinopteri; Pleuronectiformes; Rhombosoleidae.